RNAcentral lists this ribosomal RNA (497 nucleotides) under uncultured bacterium. Its description in RNAcentral is "partial 16S ribosomal RNA". It matches the Rfam family "Bacterial small subunit ribosomal RNA", at positions 28 to 507 of the family's 1533-position model. The record is from RNAcentral.
GAUGAACGCUGGCGGCGUGCCUAAUACAUGCAAGUCGAGCGAACGGACGAGAAGCUUGCUUCUCUGAUGUUAGCGGCGGACGGGUGAGUAACACGUGGAUAACCUACCUAUAAUACUGGGAUAACUUCGGGAAACCGGAGCUAAUACCGGAUAAUAUUUUGAACCGCAUGGUUCAAAAGUGAAAGACGGUCUUGCUGUCACUUAUAGAUGGAUCCGCGCUGCAUUAGCUAGUUGGUAAGGUAACGGCUUACCAAGGCAACGAUGCAUAGCCGACCUGAGAGGGUGAUCGGCCACACUGGAGCUGAGACACGGUCCAGACUCCUACGGGAGGCAGCAGUAGGGAAUCUUCCGCAAUGGGCGAAAGCCUGACGGAGCAACGCCGCGUGAGUGAUGAAGGUCUUCGGAUCGUAAAACUCUGUUAUUAGGGAAGAACAUAUGUGUAAGUAACUGUGCACAUCUUGACGGUACCUAAUCAGAAGGCCACGGCUAACUACGUG